GUGUCAGCAGCCGCGGUAAUACAGAGGUCCCGAGCGUUGUUCGGAUUCACUGGGCGUAAAGGGUGCGCAGGUGGUGGGGUAAGUCGGAUGUGAAAUCUCGGAGCUCAACUCCGAAAUGGCAUUGGAAACUGCUCUGCUGGAGGGUCGGAGGGGGGACUGGAAUGCUUGGUGUAGCAGUGAAAUGCGUAGAUAUCAAGCGGAACACCAGUGGCGAAGGCGAGUCCCUGGACGACACCUGACACUGAGGCACGAAAGCUAGGGGAGCAAACAGGAUUAGAAACCCGGGUAGUCC
This 292-nucleotide ribosomal RNA is filed under the name uncultured bacterium. Its description in RNAcentral is "partial 16S ribosomal RNA". It matches the Rfam family "Bacterial small subunit ribosomal RNA", at positions 505 to 796 of the family's 1533-position model. The record is from RNAcentral.